UUGAAUAUUCUUUUCUCCACCUCUUCUAUGAACAGAAAACCGGUAGGAGAUCAGGUUGUCAACAUAUCAGGAAGACUCAUGGAAUGAACACCAAUGAUUUUACCACCGGCAUCAGGGAAUUGCUCAUUAUCUGGUAAGGGGCUCACUGUCCCAUCAGCAUCUACUUGCAGAGGAUAUCUGAGGAGGUGGCCCUGCAAUGGUGUGAACUCCGUGGCUGUGAAUCUACCCCAGUUUUCUCCGGCAAUCUGAUUUACCUUCCUUAUA
Molecule: long non-coding RNA, 264 nt
Filed under: Citrus maxima (pomelo)
Lineage: Eukaryota; Viridiplantae; Streptophyta; Magnoliopsida; Sapindales; Rutaceae
Description: long non-coding RNA (CMAX_LNC000007)
Source: RNAcentral